This 256-nucleotide ribosomal RNA is filed under the name uncultured bacterium. Its description in RNAcentral is "partial 16S ribosomal RNA". It matches the Rfam family "Bacterial small subunit ribosomal RNA", at positions 521 to 776 of the family's 1533-position model. The record is from RNAcentral.
UAAUACGGAGGGUGCAAGCGUUAAUCGGAAUGACUGGGCGUAAAGGGUGUGUAGGUGGUUAAUUAAGUUAGCUGUGAAAUUCCUGGGCUCAACCUGGGGUGGUCAUCUAAGACUGAUUGACUUGAGUAUGGGAGAGGGUAGUGGAAUUUCCGGUGUAGCGGUGAAAUGCGUAGAGAUCGGAAGGAACACCAGUGGCGAAGGCGGCUACCUGGCCUAAUACUGACACUGAGGCACGAAAGCGUGGGGAGCAAACAGG